GGGUGAGAGGGAGAAACCUGCCGCCGCUCGCCGCCUCUUUGUCUGCUCCGGGACUUGGAACAAAAGGGGGAACUCUGAUGAACUCUCUUUCCUCCCCUCUCCCCCGGACGCCGGGGUAUCUCCCUCUCGCAACUUUGCCGCCCCGACUUUCUCUGCUGUCAGGCCGGGAAAAAGUGUCCGAACGCCUCGUGGACUGCAGCGGGGGAAAUGUCCCUUAAAAGUGCGACGAAGUGGGGAAGAAGGUGUAAUUACUAUUAUCAGCAUCUAGAAAGCAUCAUGAAUUUGCUGGAGUACUUCCUAGCACUGACCUCCUUCAUUCUGCGUUGUUCUUACUGGAUCUUUCCAUCAGCCAACAAUAUGGAAGUACCAAUACAAGGUCAAAUCAUUCCUGGAUUCAUCUGGAGUUGCUUAAAAGUUAAAUCAUUGGAAUUUUUGAUGAUACCUUUUCUAUAUGGAUUACAAUUUGAUCGCUGGGAAUUCUCCACCUUAAAGAAGGUCUGUAAUAUAGCAAUAUGCAUUGCCUUCUGAGUGAUUAUUUAGUUCAAGGAAGAGUAUAUUCAUUUUAUCUUUAGGAAGUUUCAGAUAGGAAUGUUAAGGUAUUAUUUCUCAUUUGUAAUUUACUAGCAGAUAUUUGCCUAGAUAUGAUAAUGUUAGGAAUAAAAAUAUGGAAUUAAUCAAUAUUAAAAUAGGAAAAUAUCUUUUUUUAAUAUGUUUCCAAAACUUUGUUGAAAGCAUUCAUUUUAAUUAGCAGAUUAUAUAUCAAUAUAGCAACUACUAAUAUAAUACUUUGUAAUUACAGAGUUUAAAAUAAUACAUUCAUUUAAAAAUGUC
Molecule: long non-coding RNA, 831 nt
Filed under: Homo sapiens (human)
Lineage: Eukaryota; Metazoa; Chordata; Mammalia; Primates; Hominidae
Description: cancer susceptibility 15
Source: RNAcentral